GCUGGGUGUGAUGGCUCUCGCCUGUAAUCCCAGCACUUUGGGAGGCCGAGGUGGGUGGAUCACCUGAGGUCAGGAGUUUGAGACCAGCCUGACCAACAUGGUGAAACCCCAUCUCUA
Molecule: unclassified non-coding RNA, 117 nt
Organism: Callithrix jacchus (white-tufted-ear marmoset)
Lineage: Eukaryota; Metazoa; Chordata; Mammalia; Primates; Cebidae
Rfam family: Metazoan signal recognition particle RNA
About the family: The signal recognition particle (SRP) is a universally conserved ribonucleoprotein. It is involved in the co-translational targeting of proteins to membranes. The eukaryotic SRP consists of a 300-nucleotide 7S RNA and six proteins: SRPs 72, 68, 54, 19, 14, and 9.
Source: Ensembl